RNAcentral lists this ribosomal RNA (485 nucleotides) under uncultured Rhodoferax sp. RNAcentral describes it as "bacterial SSU rRNA". It matches the Rfam family "Bacterial small subunit ribosomal RNA", at positions 896 to 1382 of the family's 1533-position model. Lineage: Bacteria; Pseudomonadati; Pseudomonadota; Betaproteobacteria; Burkholderiales; Comamonadaceae. The record is from RNAcentral.
GAAACUCAAAUGAAUUGACGGGACCCGCACAAGCGGUGGAUGAUGUGGUUUAAUUCGAUGCAACGCGAAAAACCUUACCCACCUUUGACAUGUACGGAACCCUUUAGAGAUAGAGGGGUGCUCGAAAGAGAGCCGUAACACAGGUGCUGCAUGGCUGUCGUCAGCUCGUGUCGUGAGAUGUUGGGUUAAGUCCCGCAACGAGCGCAACCCUUGUCAUUAGUUGCUACAUUCAGUUGGGCACUCUAAUGAGACUGCCGGUGACAAGCCGGAGGAAGGUGGGGAUGACGUCAAGUCCUCAUGGCCCUUAUAGGUGGGGCUACACACGUCAUACAAUGGCUGGUACAAAGGGUUGCCAACCCGCGAGGGGGAGCCAAUCCCAUAAAGCCAGUCGUAGUCCGGAUCGUAGUCUGCAACUCGACUACGUGAAGUCGGAAUCGCUAGUAAUCGUGGAUCAGAAUGUCACGGUGAAUACGUUCCCGGGUCUU